This 231-nucleotide non-coding RNA is filed under the name Bacillus gobiensis. RNAcentral describes it as "T-box sequence". It matches the Rfam family "T-box leader". From Rfam's summary of the family: Uncharged tRNA acts as the effector for transcription antitermination of genes in the T-box leader family. T-boxes are found upstream of many aminoacyl-tRNA synthetase genes and some amino acid biosynthetic genes usually in Gram-positive bacteria. The anticodon of a specific tRNA base pairs to a specifier sequence within the T-box motif, and the NCCA acceptor tail of the tRNA base pairs to a conserved bulge in the T-box antiterminator hairpin. Lineage: Bacteria; Bacillati; Bacillota; Bacilli; Caryophanales; Bacillaceae. The record is from RNAcentral.
ACAUGAGCAACGAACGGGAAGAGUACAAAACAAACGCUAACAGAGAGAGGAUCCAGCUGCUGAAAGGAUUCUUUAGACCGUUUUUUUGGAAGGUCGCCCGGGAGCAAAUUUCUUGAAAACAAGUAGAGAAAUUCGGGAAAUCCCCGUUAUUGGAAUAAAGAGCAUGAAAGCAAGUUAGCAAGCUUUCAUGAAUAAAGGUGGUACCGCGGGAGAACUCUCUUCGUCCUUUUA